GCGAGGCGGAGCCAGGGGAAGGCGGACCCGGGCCGAGGCGGAGGCCGCUGUGCCGCGCUGUGGCCGCGAGGUGGGGCUGUAGGUAAAGCAGCGCCGCUGAGGACGCCUCUAUUAAGUCAGUCUUAACCUAAUGAGCCUAAAUCGCACUAGAAACGUGGAUAUUGAUCCCCCUUCGCAACUAGAAAUGAUAGAAUUAUUGAAUCGUAGACUUGUUUCUGUUGGAAAGGACCUUAAAGAUCAGCUCAUUCCAACUGCCCUGUUGGGUAGGGGUGCCCUCCACUAGACCAGGUUUGAAAUACCAAGAACCACAGUCCUGCACAGAGUGUGCAUUAAUGGACAGGUGUCACAUCAGACGUCUGUGCAGCUUUUUACUUUGGGCCAGAGGAACUGUGGACUCACAGUGUGGGCAUCAUGUAAGGGAAGAAGGAACAGGCAGACACAUCUGCUGAGACCAGACAUCAGCUUGCCCUUCGUUUUUCUGGGAUAACAGCAGCUUAACAGGAAGCCUGAAGAAGUGCCAAAGUCGCUACUGUCUCAGAGGAAAGUGAGAAAUCAGCUGUUGCCACGGAAAUCUUGCAAAUGUUGGGCAACAGAGCUGGUUUGGGAGUUGGUGCCAUACAGGAGGUCAAAGUUUUAUUCAGGAUUCUCAUUUAUUUGUGUUUAGAAUGCAGCAGGACCUUGAUAAUGCCUACUAAGUGAUCUUACAGCAUAAAACACAGACUACCAAUGGGUCUUUGACCCUUUCUGCUAACAGGAUCAUGUUCAGUUCAGAAACUCUUACUAGCAUAGAGAUCUUCUGUUAAAAGAGGACAGAAAACAAACCUUUUUUAGCAUAGGUGUUGCUGCCAAGCAAAGAGAAAAGCAAAAUAAGAAACUCCAUGAAAAUUAAUGAAUAUAUUGCAUAGCAACUAACACUUGGCUUAUUGCAUAGAGUAAUGCUGAAAUAGGCAGAGGGCUUACAGCAUUCUGCAAACUGAUUUUCUCAUGGGUAAGUGAGGGCUAGAAGCACCAUAUAUCUGUGCCAUGUCUAACUAAGUUUUACGCUAGCAAGUGCUGUGGAGUUCUGUGCAAGCGGGCUAUUGGCUAUAUUUCUAGACUUUUUUGAUGGCAGGAAAUAUCUGGGUUUGUGUGCAUGUGCACAUUGCUCUCCACUAAAAUUGUCAUUUUCUCCCCAAAACAAAGCAGAUAUGGAAAGAACAAGCAAAGGAAUGUGAAAAAAACACAACUCUCAUAACUAAAACAUUCUGUUUCUUGUGAUGUCCUGUUUGUUUGCUGAAGGGUGAACUGUGAGAGAAUUUCUGGGCCAUUUUGCUCUACACAGCUGUAUGAUAAUAGCAUCUGCACUGACCACAUCAAUUCAGGAUAUUGAUUUGGAAGUUACAGAGUCACCACAGCCAGCUCUUUCUUUGCAUAAGCAACCAUGCUAUAUACUCCAUCCAAACUUGUCCAAUUUCACUUUCAAAACCAUUAACAGAGUUUGACUUGCUGUAUAUAUAUUGGAGAAUUCCAUUUGCCCACAAUUUCCCAAACCAGAAAUUUCUCAAGGAAGUGUUGUGAGAACAGAAUGAGAAUUCUCAUCCAUUCAGCUGAAGACAAGAGCAUGUCCCCAGCAAAGUAUUACAUAACUGGAGAUACAUAGUCCUAAUAGGUUGUUAGUGCAACAAAAGACAGCACAAGACCAUAGCUGAGUAGAACAGGAUUUUAAUUUACAAUUCCCUAAGUAAGUAGAUUUUACCCACUCACUCUGUCAUGCCCACAUACUUACAAGCACUAAGACAUGUGCAUGCCUGACCAGUUUUGCCAGGAUCACCUGUAUGCCAUGGAAGGCAGCAGCAAAUAGCUUUCAGGUCCUCACUACAUCUCUUGGGUUCCUCUCUAUGGGUGACAACAAAUGGGUCUGGACAGGUCUCUCUAGGCACUAACUGUUACUAUGAGACAAUAUUUUCACUGAACAAUCUUGUUUAUUUUAUCCUCCAUAAAUAUUCAAUAAGAUUGCUGUCUGUUCUGUUUGCCUCUCCAUUUUACAUACCUUAUGGUCUGUCUCAAUACUGAGAUAACAGGGAGAGGAAUGGCUCUUCCACUGUGCUGAAGCUUUGCUGCUUUGCUCUGUUGUUCUUCCAGUGCUGUUGUGGAUUUCCACCCAGACCAAUUCCAGUAUUUCUGUUACCCAGCUUUAUACACUGUAAUGGCAAAAAAAGCUUUUCCACCUUUUGCUGUUAAGAAACUUGCAAUACAUCUGAGCAUACUUGGCUGAGGAUCCAAGGCUAUGGCCCCAGAGAACUUUGAGCAGCAUGCCAGAUUUGUUCUCAAGUGCAUUACCUCAAGAGACAUCAUUUGAGUGUAACUAAUUAUCACUCUGCAGUGAAGUCAACUGAACAUCUUUUUACAUGCCUGGAUACCUGCCUUUGACCCCAGGCUACUACUCCUGCUUUCUAACCAGUAUUCCUCCUAAUAUCCCAAAGAAAAUGGUGGGUGGGUGUCUCAUAGCUUAUAUAAAAAUGCAAAGCUUAUAUGAAGAAAUUAAACUUUUUAUUGUCAAAACUGAAACUCCCCCAAACCAAGCAUUCAAAUUCAGUUCUUUCAGAAUAACAGGUCGCUCAGGGUACAGAAACAUUUUAAUGAUGACUAAUGUAAGCCUUGCAAAUACAUAUUUCAAGCUGUUUCUUCUUGCUGCAUACAUUCAGGGCUACAGAUGUGCUGUGUCAGGUCAGCUGCAGAAUAAAAUGGAACCUUUCAUACAUUUAUCCAAGGUCUCCAUUUUUAGUGCAUGUGAAAAAAUUUUGAUAAAGACCUUUUAAAAUCUAUAUUUCAUUAUUUUCUCCUAAGAUUAGGCACACUAGGGUUUGACACUUUUUCAGUUAUUACUCGUUAUUGACUUUUUCAAACUGGCAUUCAUUGUCUCUGAAAAUAAAGAGUAUUCAGUUCAAAUUGCAAUAAAUUUUAGUCUCAAGACAGGAAUUGCCAAUAUAAGAGAUUUACCUCUGAAAGAUAACCUGAUGGAAAAUGUUUUUUCAUCUGGAAUAUGGGAUUUGUUAUCCUGGCUUGAAUCAGUCUAGUGGAGCUCUGUCUCAGCAAAUGCAUCUGGCCAAAUAAUGAGGACUGUGGAGCCAAAGGGAGUAGUUUUUCUUUUAUGAUUCUUAGAAAGGUUUGGUUUAUUUGAGUAGAUUUAUCUAAGUGGCUUGCAAGCAAUUAGGAGUCACUAAAAUUACACAGCACUUAAAAAAUGUUUGUGCUGUAACUAACUUGGUGAUCAGUUGCAGAGUUUAACUUUGCAUUUAUUCCCUUUGGUUUUGCAGAAUUGUAGCUCAGGUCUUGGAAACACAUUCAGUGAAGAAAUAGCUGCAAAAAUAUAAAUUGUUAUUGACCAACUCUUUGUUGUUCUCCUGGCAGAGGUGAACACAGCCACAUUUUCAAUGUCCUCCCUUUUGGAAUCAGUAGAGCAAAAUGAUCCUUUAGCCACUUUACUGUGAAAUCUAGUAGUUUAGUAACAGAACCCAAAUUACUGCAAGAGGCAGUUGAUCCUGAGCUGCUAGAUUUCAUAUGAUAUUGGCUUAGAAUCACAUAAAUGUUACUUGUAAGAGAUUUGGAAAAUGUAACCAGGUGUGGGCAGUGAGGAGAGUAAGGAUUGGCAGCCUCUUAAAUCACUGCAACUGCUUCUAAAAUGAAAAACCACACAAGCCUUGGAAUUCUAAUCUGCCAUCCCAGUAAUUUCUGUACCACAGCUUUUUGUCAUCCUUUACAAACCCCUUGGAAAUGGUGAUAAGGGUGUUCAGAAUAGAGAUGAUGCUCACUUACAUCAGUUCCAGAAGUAUGGCCAUUAGUCACUCAGGAGAUAAUUUUUACUGAAAAGUUUCUCUUUUCCACCAUAUGAAAAAGGAGAUAUUGAUUUUUGCCUUGAAAUGCAGCUUUCAAAAUACUGAAUUAGAAAUUCUGCAUGAAGAAUGAAAGGCUAGAAGUUCACUGAUUCUAAAAUUUAACAGGUGUUACGUUUUUGUUCUUAAAUUGUCAGUUGUCCUCAAUGAGAGGUAAAAGAAUGUGUAAAGUUCUCACUAGAAUUUUGUAAAUUGUAAUAGCUAGCAUGCUAGGACUAUGAAACAUCUUCACAGAAAUGCAGCUAGGAGCAAAAAGAGUACCAGACUAAAGAAGCUUGGAGGCUCAGUGAAAAAAUGAGGUGCUCUGUUUCCCAUUCAGCAUUGUUUAUGCCCAGCAUAAAAGCCACAGAAAACUGAGGAGGAAAACUCUGAAAAGACCAGCAGUUAUCUUCCACUGUAUUUUUAGCAUGGGAUCAUAGCCAGACAGCAUCACUCAGCAGCCUCCCAUGGUGUUCCUUGGUUCAGCCAGACAAUCUGAAAGCCCAAGGAAUGACUUUGCACUUGUGCUUGUACCAAGCAAGCUGCAGGAGGCUUUCCAUCCUUGCUUAGCACAGUCAGUGGUACUAAGAGCUGUAUUUGUCAACAGCUUUGUAUUGCUCUCAGUAUCAUGCCAGUUAUCCUUGCUCCUGAGGUUUCUGCUGGCAGCACCGUCCGUGCUAAUGCUGCUAACAGCACUGCAGCUGAAUCACUGAGAACAGAAUUCUUCACAGUGCACCAAACUCAGGCUGACUCAAAAUAGCAGUGAUGCACUGUCAUCAAAAAGUACCUGCAAGUAGAAGAGCUCUCAUUAAAGCUGGUCAAAACCUUCCCAGUAGGAUCAGCUCUGCUUCUUGUAUCUAGCUGGGGUAGACAGUACCUUUAUCCUUCUAAUACAGUAGUUUUGUCAGAGGGCUGCAGUUAUUUGCAGUAUUCACAAGUACACACAGUUGAGGGUGGAAAUGUGAAAAAAACAUUAGUGGGAGACUUUUACUGAUGCUAUACUCAGAGUAUUCACCUUUCCUUCACCAGCUGUGAGAUCAUGGUCAGGUCACAGAUCUCAUGGCAUCUCUUCCCAAAGGCAAAGACAGAGGUAUGACCUAAGUAGAUGUACUGAAAGUAGCUUGAACUAGCUAAAGAGACAAUAGGAGAUGAUACACAUAGGUCAAUAAAGGCCCCAAAGCCCAUUUAAAAAUUCAGGUAAACAUUCGGUGUGCUGGCCACCCUGAGAUGCUGCAGCAUCUUUCUCCAAACCACCUGCCCAUAAGUUCACUCUGGAUUGUCUCUGCAGGCUGCAGUCACACACUGAUUGCAGUAUGGACACAUCCUCAGUACUUCUAGUGGUCAAGCUCUCUACAUAGGGGUGACUGGAAAUCAGAAAGUAUUUCUUAACAUGGAUUUUACAUCCUCUGCCCAGGGCACUCUACUGACACAAGAUUAUUCUCAAAUAUGUGUGGAAUAACAGUGCUUUGUUCUACAUUAGUACAUUCAACUUUUCUAGUGAGGAAUACACUAACAUGAACAAACAUUCCUAAUUCUGUAGUAGUAGUUGUGGACACAUGGAAUCCCUCUGCAGAACUAGCCUGUAAAUUCUCUCUCUGUUUUACUCCAGUCUCGUUUGCAGGUUUCCUGGUUGGAAGGGGGUAGUUCACUGUUAUUUCUAGAGCAGCUCCCCAAAACAUUUUAAAUAUGAUAUGGCUUGAUAUGGCUUCCUCCACAUGUCUCUCUCUUGAGACACUCUGACUGAAGGCCUGUGCCUCUUCUGCUGGUAAUUCAGUAUCUUUGCUGUAAGCCCUGUCCCAGCUUUUCUGUCUGUGCAAUUUAUUAAAUUCAAUGUUUAGUACCUUA
Long non-coding RNA from Zonotrichia leucophrys gambelii, 5696 nucleotides. RefSeq lists it as uncharacterized. The record is from RefSeq and is a predicted model, not a curated record. Lineage: Eukaryota; Metazoa; Chordata; Aves; Passeriformes; Passerellidae. The transcript is spliced from 3 exons.